RNAcentral lists this ribosomal RNA (651 nucleotides) under Triticum aestivum (bread wheat). RNAcentral's name for it is "partial small subunit ribosomal RNA". The record is from RNAcentral. Lineage: Eukaryota; Viridiplantae; Streptophyta; Magnoliopsida; Poales; Poaceae.
AUGGAUGCUUCAGACCAUCCUUCCGAGCCUCGGCAAGCUGGACGGGUGGAUUCGCCAAGCAGGGCCCUCCGGCGAGGUGGAGGGGCUGAGGGACGAGAUCGAGCAAGUCGACGGGGUCGUCUCUGCCGUGAACGGCAGGGCGGCCCGAAACAGGUCGGUGGCCAGAUCCCUCGCAGCCCUCAAGCAGCUGCUCUACCACGCCGACGACAUGGUCGACUAGCUCGACUGCUACAGGCUUCAGCAGGAGCUCCACGCCCACGGAGUGUAGGCCCAUGGCAUUGGCACCAUCCCAACGAAAUUGAUGGACCAAGUAACCAGCUGCCAAGUUCUUCAAGAAGAAAAAGGAGAAGGGGCAACAUGGAGAAAGACGCGGUGCUGGUGUGCAUGGUCCUGGGCUUUCUGGGCUCCGUCGCGGUCACCCUCGGCUUCGUCGCCAACAACUACAACUCCAAGUACAACGGGACGAACUGCGUGUACCGAAGCCCGCCGGCGAUGGGUCUCGGCAUCCUGGGGGUGUUCCUGGUGUUCAUCAACCAGGUCAUCGUCGCCGCCUAUGCCAGCGGCUGGUGCCUCUGCCUGUGUUGCUGCUGCCCCUGCUGGACCAAGCGCCGCCGGCUGGCGCCAACACCGUCCAAGUGGAACCCAGUAUAG